This 224-nucleotide ribosomal RNA is filed under the name Eucharis albipennis. RNAcentral's name for it is "partial 28S ribosomal RNA". It matches the Rfam family "Eukaryotic large subunit ribosomal RNA", at positions 967 to 1163 of the family's 3401-position model. Lineage: Eukaryota; Metazoa; Arthropoda; Insecta; Hymenoptera; Eucharitidae. The record is from RNAcentral.
UUUCCCUCAGGAUAGCUGGCACUCGUUUCAAAGCGAGUCUCAUCUGGUAAAGCGAAUGAUUAGAGGCCUCUUGGGGCCGAAACGACCUCAACCUAUUCUCAAACUUUAAAUGGGUGAGAUCUCUGGCUUGCUUGAAACUUGAAGCCACGAGAUUUUAACAUUGUUAAAAAUGGAUCAGAGUGCCAAGUGGGCCAAUUUUGGUAAGCAGAACUGGCGCUGUGGGA